This 371-nucleotide long non-coding RNA is filed under the name Elaeis guineensis (African oil palm). RNAcentral's name for it is "long non-coding RNA (EGUI_LNC010686)". Lineage: Eukaryota; Viridiplantae; Streptophyta; Magnoliopsida; Arecales; Arecaceae. The record is from RNAcentral.
AUCUAAUAUGUUUUGAUUAAAAAAGUGGCUGGAAAUGGGGAAUUGGUUUCAUCUUUUGAAAUGGCUUCCUUUUGAUCCUCAAUCCCGCCUAGUAGCCCAAGCUAUUUCACUACAUCACCAAAAGUGCAUCUUAAGCUACCGUCCAAACUUUAUGUAAUAUGUCCAAUUACAUGUUCAAAUAGUAGCCUCCUGUGGUAGUUUGCCAGCUGUUAUGCUCCGCAGUUUCCUUCUUUGCCUUGUGCCCUGUGAUCAUCAGAAGAAUGAUGAACUUCAGUAUCAGUACUCUACUAUUAUUUAAGGUAUAUUAAUUGAUUACCUUUUUGUACAAGUCCAGCUUGCAGAAUUCUUCUGUCAAUCAUCUUUACCUGACA